CCACAGCCCCCCGCGGCCGCACCUGCUGGUGCUGCCGGCCGGUGCGACGUGAAUAAAUAAAUAAAUACAGGGAGAGACUUGUCUCUAUACACAGCUCGCGGCGCCGCGCUGUCUGCGGCCGCCGGCCCUGCCGCUUAUUUUCGAGGCGGUGGCGGGGCCGCGUCCCGGGAUGCAAAGUUCAGCCCCGCCGCGGGUCCGGCGCCUCGGGCAGCAGGAACGUCCUUCCCGGGGCGGGCUCUGCCCCAGCCCCGUGAGCUCCCUCCUGCGAACAAAGGCGCCCGGGCCCCGCAGGAAGCGGCGGGGCCGGGCAGCAGCGACCGCGCCCUCGCACCUCGGCCCCGCCCGAGGCGGCCCCGGACAGCCCGGGACAGCCGGGCCCAGCUCCGCACCCUGGCACAGCCUGGAGACCUUCCCUUUAUAAAAACUGAUUUCAACAAAGCGGGAUUAAGUACCUUUACAGAGACAACAUAAAUAGAAAGCACUCCCAGGAGUAAAAAAAUAAAAUGGGCACUAAUUCUGUUGGAAGCGACGCUGGAACAUUUGUUAGGACAGGUUUUCUCCGGGGCAGCUGGGCACAGGGCCAAGGCUCGCAGCUACACAUCCUUCACAUUUGUGGAACAAGCUGAGCAAAACAAGACAACAUUAAAUGCUCUAGGAAGACACAUUUGAUCCUGUCCCCUUCACUAAGAAGAGAAGGAACGUCAUAAAACAGGUGUUCAACCCAUAAAACAGAGUUCUUAAAUGUCAGUCUAAGGAAAACAUUAGCAAGCUAGACCUGUAUGUUUACCUCAGUGCAGCAGUUCACAACUGAAAAACUAGCAUUUGCCCAGGAAUUUGCUGACUUUGUGGUUUCAUUUGCUUUUCAUCCUCUAUAUAAUACUUCCAUCAGAUGUAACAAGACCUUUUACCAAUAUUUGUAGUGUUAUGCAAGAUACAUUCAUGAAAGCACUAAAAAAAUGCAAACUGUUGUGUAUUCUCUUGCAGACCCCCUCCAGCAGGUACAACCACAAUUGCUACUGUGAUGCCUGCCCUGACACAAGUGCAGAAGGCAUGCACUGCCUUGGAAAAGGAAGCAAACCAGGGUGGCUGGUUUAUUGCACUAUUCAAUAAGUUACCUGAGCUAAACAAAUACUUGAACUCACACCUAACCUCGAUAAAGACACUUGGGCUUCAUAUAUCUCUUUCUGGUUCAUUGGUCUUGACCUUUCUGCAAGAAACACCAAGGAGUUGAAGUCAGAUGCUAGAACUGAUUAUGAAUGUAUGAAAAAUAGCCAUUUUAACCACAAAGGAGAGAAAGAAAAGUCACUCCUGUAGUUUGCAUUUGCUUUCUACAGCAAACUGCAGAAUAACUAUAUAUAUAUAUAUAUACACACACGCUUGAGUUUGAAGCUGGUGAGACAGUUAUCAGUUCACAUGAGGGUAAGGACACUACAGAGGUAACAUUCUAAAUCAGUCCUUCAGAACUUUCACAAAUCCCAAACUUUAUCCCAGAAUGAGGGCUGCACUUAAAAACAGCUUAGAAUUGGGGUUUUUUAGAUAUGCUAAGGCAUGGGUUUAGCAGCUACUUACAGUCCAGCCUGCACUGUGGGGAGCUCUCACAUCUCCCUCCAGAACCUGUCAGUAAAGGUUGUCUUAUUUUAAAUAAAAGUUAAUAUGAGUGAGGUUCUACAGUGGUCUUCACACCCUUCUGUUAAGACAGCACAGCACCUGUAAAAUCAUUUCAAAUUCAUUAUCAAUUAACAGGUACCACUUUUAGAUAUCAGCACAUUUAAAAAUUCCUGGGAAGAUCAAUUUUUCUUGUAACAGGUAAGCAAAAGAGACUUUGAUCAGUAUCCGAAUUUCUUCAAGAUGGCUAUUAGUCUGGUUAGUCCUUGGGCAACUGUGCAUCACGAGCUGCAGCAGAUUCUCUAACCUCCAAAGGCUCCUCCAUCUUGGGAGACUUAAAGACACCUCCCUGUUUGUUUCAGAGACUUACUCACUAGUUUGAACCUCUUCACAACAGAACUCAAAACUCUGCAUUCCAUUUGAAUGGGUCAGCUGGUGAAUGUACUGAGGCUUUUUUGCAUCCUUCCUUUGCAGUGAAGUUUCUCUCCUGUAGAUUUGAGGCUCAUGAAAGGAAAACGGGUGAAAUUUCCUGCUUCACAAAAUAAAACAGCGACAGUGGUAAAAUGGUUAUCCUGAAUAGUUCCUCUAGGACAAUCCCUAGAGCAAGAGGACUAUAUAAUGUCUUGAGUAUUUGGAUAUCUUCUAUCUCUUUAGCUGUGCUAUUGCCAGGAGGAAAAACCACCCCUGUGCAAAGGUGCAGUCUAAGGCCCAUGGCUGCUGAGUUACCUUCAGCAAAGUGAUUUGAACAGGAUCAGGCUCAGCUCCCAUUGGAGCUCCAUCAAGGAACACUGCCUGAGCAAGCCCAGCAAAACCACAAGAUUAACAAGUUAAGGAGCUUUUGUCAAAAGGGCAAUAGAUGGACAUUAUCCCAGGGCAGAUAUUGAUGACUAAACUCUUUCACAGUGAGAGCAAAGUCUAAAAUACCAGCAACUGAGGCACAAACUCCAGCCCAAAAUACCACACUGAAAGCCUUUCUGUUCGGCCUUGGAGAACCUUCUUGCUAACAAGCAUUUUCUUUAGCAGUGACAUUGUGAGGACUGAGAAAAGUCACAAGCUGAACACAGGAGUUAAAGGAAAGCAACCGUUUCAUAUAUCCUGUAAUUGCAGGUUCUUACUUCACAGCAGGAGGAGGAGGACUAUUUAUAUUAAAGUCUUAGCACCAUUUAUAAAAAAGGUAUAUAUAGACUGUAUAGCCUGCCACAUUACUUGAAAUCAGCAAACAGACCUGUUUCUGGACUUCAUUUAAGGAUUCCCAUUAAAGAAGGUUUAGGAGAGAAUGGUCUCUGCAACUUGGAAGGACACCCAGAGGGAAAAAAAUUUGCCAAGAUGUAGCAGGAGUUGAAGGGCAGAAAGUAAUAGAAGAAUAAAAAAAAAAGGCAUUUUAAGCUAGGGGUGACAAGCAAAUGAGAUCUAGUUUGAAGAACACAGCUA
Molecule: long non-coding RNA, 3036 nt
Organism: Pseudopipra pipra
Lineage: Eukaryota; Metazoa; Chordata; Aves; Passeriformes; Pipridae
Exons: 2
Source: RefSeq, a predicted model, not a curated record